GGGGAAGAGCAGGCGAAGAGCAAAGAGAUGGACUGAGUACUCCCAGCUAGAGCAAGCGGCAGUUAUGGCGCAUGCGCAGCAGCAGGGGUGGCCGCAGGUCGCCGUUCAAUAAUACUCAAGGGAUUUGUACAGCCCUAUAGGAGACACCUCCAGAGAAAGUAACAACUCUCAGUUGAUUAGCUGAGGUAUGUAUGUCAUUUAUGGCAAUACCUGUCUCCAUCCCCUCCGUCUUCUUCUAGGAGACCAAUUUUGUAAAUUGCUACUUUUCUAACAACAGUGGCACAGGUGGCCCAGCAUUCUCCCUUUUCUCAGAGCUGGUUUUCCAUCCUGGAAAGAGAAUAAACAGAUGCUUUUACAGCUCGCAUUGGUGGGAAGAUCUGGCACAAAUGAAGUAUCUAUAAGGAGCAGCAGAGUCAAGGUGGUGAUCCUGUGGAAGAA
RNAcentral lists this long non-coding RNA (438 nucleotides) under Pongo abelii (Sumatran orangutan). RNAcentral describes it as "lincRNA". The record is from RNAcentral. Lineage: Eukaryota; Metazoa; Chordata; Mammalia; Primates; Hominidae.